ACAGCAGAAUGAAGGCCAGGCUGAAGACCUUGCUAGACUAGCUGAGAGGAGGUGCAUGGCCGUCGUCAGUUCGUACUGUGAAGCAUCCUGUUAAGUCAGGCAACGAGCGAGACCCGCGCCCAUAGUUGCCAGCAAUCCCUCUGGGGAGAUGGGUACACUAUGGGGACCGCCUCUGCUAAAGAGGAGGAAGGAACGGGCAACGGUAGGUCAGCAUGCCCCGAAUCUCCCGGGCUACACGCGGGCUACAAUGAUCGGGACAAUGGGAAUCGACACCGAGAGGUGAAGGUAAUCUCCUAAACCCGAUCGUAGUUCGGAUUGGGGGCUGAAACUCGCCCCCAUGAAGAUGGAAUCCGUAGUAAUCGCGUCUCAAAAUGGCGCGGUGAAUAUGUCCCUGCUCCUU
Molecule: ribosomal RNA, 400 nt
Filed under: uncultured Methermicoccus sp.
Lineage: Archaea; Methanobacteriati; Methanobacteriota; Methanomicrobia; Methanosarcinales; Methermicoccaceae
Description: bacterial SSU rRNA
Rfam family: Archaeal small subunit ribosomal RNA
Source: RNAcentral